Molecule: ribosomal RNA, 492 nt
Filed under: uncultured bacterium
Lineage: Bacteria
Description: partial 16S ribosomal RNA
Rfam family: Bacterial small subunit ribosomal RNA
Source: RNAcentral
AGUGAACGCUGGCGGUAUGCCUAACACAUGCAAGUCGAACGGCAGCACAGUAAGAGCUUGCUCUUACGGGUGGCGAGUGGCGGACGGGUGAGGAAUACAUCGGAAUCUACUUUUUCGUGGGGGAUAACGUAGGGACACUUACGCUAAUACCGCAUACGACCUACGGGUGAAAGCAGGGGAUCUUCGGACCUUGCGCGAUUGAAUGAGCCGAUGUCGGAUUAGCUAGUUGGCGGGGUAAAGGCCCACCAAGGCGACGAUCCGUAGCUGGUCUGAGAGGAUGAUCAGCCACACUGGAACUGAGACACGGUCCAGACUCCUACGGGAGGCAGCAGUGGGGAAUAUUGGACAAUGGGCGCAAGCCUGAUCCAGCCAUACCGCGUGGGUGAAGAAGGCCUUCGGGUUGUAAAGCCCUUUUGUUGGGAAAGAAAAGCAGCAGGUUAAUACCCCGCUGUUCUGACGGUACCCAAAGAAUAAGCACCGGCUAACUUCGUG